GAUGAACGCUGGCGGCGUGCCUAAUACAUGCAAGUCGAGCGAACGGACGAGAAGCUUGCUUUUCUGAUGUUAGCGGCGGACGGGUGAGUAACACGUGGAUAACCUACCUAUAAGACUGGGAUAACUUCGGGAAACCGGAGCUAAUACCGGAUAAUAUUUUGAACCGCAUGGUUCAAAAGUGAAAGACGGUCUUGCUGUCACUUAUAGAUGGAUCCGCGCUGCAUUAGCUAGUUGGUAAGGUAACGGCUUACCAAGGCAACGAUGCAUAGCCGACCUGAGAGGGUGAGCAGCCACACUGGAACUGAGACACGGUCCAGACUCCUACGGGAGGCAGCAGUAGGGAAUCUUCCGCAAUGGGCGAAAGCCUGACGGAGCAACGCCGCGUGAGUGAUGAAGGUCUUCGGAUCGUAAAACUCUGUUAUUAGGGAAGAACAUAUGUGUAAGUAACUGUGCACAUCUUGACGGUACCUAAUCAGAAAGCAACGGCUAACUACGUG
RNAcentral lists this ribosomal RNA (497 nucleotides) under uncultured bacterium. RNAcentral describes it as "partial 16S ribosomal RNA". It matches the Rfam family "Bacterial small subunit ribosomal RNA", at positions 28 to 507 of the family's 1533-position model. The record is from RNAcentral.